Molecule: ribosomal RNA, 425 nt
Filed under: uncultured prokaryote
Description: bacterial SSU rRNA
Rfam family: Bacterial small subunit ribosomal RNA
Source: RNAcentral
UCUAGAGGCUUCGGCAAUGGGGGAAACCCUGACCGAGCGACGCCGCGUGUGGGAUUGAAGGCCUUCGGGUCGUAAACCACUGUCAUUGGGAAAGAAUGCCCUGGUGGCGAACCAGGGAGUGACGGUACCCAAGAAGGAAGCCCCGGCUAACUCCGUGCCAGCAGCCGCGGUAAUACGGAGGGGGCGAGCGUUGUUCGGAUUUACUGGGCGUAAAGGGUGUGUAGGCGGUUGCGCAAGUCUGGUGUGAAAUCUUCACCGCUUAACGGGAAGAGGUCACUGGAAACUGCGUAACUCGAGUAUGGUAGAGGCAAGCGGAAUUCCUGGUGUAGCGGUGGAAUGUGUAGAUAUCAGGAAGAACACCGGUGGCGAAGGCGGCUUGCUGGGCCAUCACUGACGCUGAGACACGAAAGCGUGGGGAGCAAACG